Molecule: ribosomal RNA, 700 nt
Filed under: uncultured bacterium
Lineage: Bacteria
Description: bacterial SSU rRNA
Rfam family: Bacterial small subunit ribosomal RNA
Source: RNAcentral
GGCGAACGGGUGAGUAACGCGUUGGUGACCUGCCCCGAAGUGUGGGAUAACAGCUCGAAAGGGCUGCUAAUACCGCAUGUGGCUUUGGGUUUUAGAACCCCAUUUCUAAAGGCUAACGUUUCGCAAGAAACGCAGUCGCUUCGGGAGGGGCCUGCGUCCCAUCAGCUGGUUGGUAAGGUAACGGCUUACCAAGGCGACGACGGGUAGGGGACCUGAGAGGGUGACCCCCCACACUGGCACUGAAACACGGGCCAGACACCUACGGGUGGCAGCAGUAGGGAAUCUUGCACAAUGGGCGCAAGCCUGAUGCAGCAACGCCGCGUGCGCGAUGAAGGCCUUCGGGUCGUAAAGCGCUUUUCUGGAGGACGAGAGCGGACGGUACUCCAGGAAGAAGGCUCGGCUAACUACGUGCCAGCAGCCGCGGUAAAACGUAGGAGCCUAGCGUUAUCCGAAUUUACUGGGCGUAAAGCGCGUGCAGGCGGCUUGGUAAGUUGGCUGUGAAAUCUCCCGGCUCAACUGGGAGGGGACGGUCAAGACUGCCAGGCUGGAGGCAGGGAGAGGGAGGUGGAAUUCCCGGUGUAGUGGUGAAAUGCGUAGAGAUCGGGAGGAACACCAGUGGCGAAAGCGGCCUCCUGGCCCUGACCUGACGCUGAGACGCGAAAGCUAGGGGAGCGAACGGGAUUAGAAACCCCGGUAGUCC